RNAcentral lists this long non-coding RNA (1408 nucleotides) under Oryza sativa (Asian cultivated rice). RNAcentral describes it as "long non-coding RNA (OSAT_LNC001454)". Lineage: Eukaryota; Viridiplantae; Streptophyta; Magnoliopsida; Poales; Poaceae. The record is from RNAcentral.
GGUGUCGCUGUCGCGGCCGAGCAUGAAGCAGAUGCCGGCGCGGAGCGCCUGGGAGUUGUUGAUGUAGUGGUCGCAGUCGAGGUUGAGGAUGAAGGGGGAGUUGGAGAGCACGGCGGAGGCGCGGGUCAGCGCGUUCAUGGCGCCGGCCUUCUUCUGGUGGUUGCACCCGGGGCGCUUCUCACGUGCGACGUACACCAGCAUCGGCAGCCGCACGUCCACGCCGCUGAAGUCCAGCGGGUUGUCGGCGCUCGCCGGCGGCCCCAGCUGCCGUGCGUGGCUCGGGUGGUUCAGCAACACCUGCACAUUUUUACCAUCAUUUACCAUAUCAGUAAAAAAAAGUCAUCUAGUACUAAUUACUACUCCUAUAUUUACCACUACUAGGAGUAAUAAAUAAUUAAUUAGUAAUCACUGCAAUUAAACUUGAUGGUUAAUUAUAUUGUGGUAAUUAAUUAAUUAACUUGUACUUGUAGCAGUAAUUAAGAAAUGGUGGUUAGUUAAUGGUGAGAGGAGGUGAGAUUAAUUAGGGGGGUGUGGAUUAAUGGUGAUGUGGUGGUGCUGUCUGGGUGGAAAGGACCACCCCAACCACUAGCUUGUUCAGACACAAGUGAGUCAUUAUCCUGCAUGCUGCUACGACUACUAAUGUGCAAUUAGUGCGUGGUGGUUGCGCUCUUGACUAUCACCACGUCAAUUCCAUCAAAAUCCCACACAUAUCUCCCAAUCCAAAAUAAUAUUCGCCCUGACAAGUCAUCACUAACUAACCAAAUAAUCACAUAAACAAAAGAUUUGUACUAUAAGAGUAAUAAUUAAUUAACUUUUAAUUAUACUGACCAGGACGAUGCCGGCGUGGUCGCCCUUGCGGUGGUUCUCCGACUGCUCGAUCCAGGUGCCCUCCCACUGCGACCCGUCGGCCAUCCAGGUGGCGCGGGGCUCGCCGUCCUUGACGCCGGCGGCGGCGUUGUAGGAGUCGGACCUCUGCUUGAUGUCGUGCUCGAGGCCGUUGAUCCUGGCCUUGAAGUCGUCGUACUCCUUGCGGACGCGGCGGCGGUCGUUGACGAACUCCUCCUGCGCCCUCCCCAUGUAGGGGUGGGACUUGAGCUCGAAGUAGCUCUCAGGCCCGCGCGGCUCGAUGGCGUGCUUCCGGCAGAAGGGCACCCACAGCGUCGCGAACUUGGCCGCCUCCGCCAUGGCCUCGUAGGUGAGGAGCAUCCCAGAGUCGUCGGAGAGGUAGCAGGUGUUGCGGUCGACGGGGUAGUCGGCGGCGAGGAUGGAGAGGAUGGAGUUCGCCGUCGACAGGAUGGGCUCCUUGAUCGGGUCGGCGGUGGUGACGAAGAUGUCCAGCCCCGGGAGGGAGGAGGUCCCGUCGGCGUGGUCGAAGCGGCGGCGGAGGACGGCGAGGUCGGGGACGCGG